This 512-nucleotide ribosomal RNA is filed under the name Amphisiella annulata. Its description in RNAcentral is "eukaryotic LSU rRNA". The stretch from base 144 to 295 matches the Rfam family "5.8S ribosomal RNA". The record is from RNAcentral. Lineage: Eukaryota; Ciliophora; Spirotrichea; Stichotrichida; Amphisiellidae.
AUGCGGAAGGAUCAUUAACACUAUCCAACCUAACUUAACCAAGCCUUUCUAGCAGCCGUCGCAGCGUUGACUUCAGUUGAUGCUAGCAGCGGCCGCAACAGAACUUACUGAAAGGGUACUAACUAAGCUUAAUCACUAAGCCAAAUUCUCAACGGUGGAUAUCUUGGUUCCCAUAACGAUGAAGAACGCAGCGAAGUGCGAUAAGCAAUGCGAAUUGCAGAACCGUGAGUCAUCAGAUUUUUGAACGCAACUGGCGCCGAUUGGUUCUCCAGUCGGCAUGCUUGUUUCAGUGUCUCCUAAUCCCUUCGCCAAAAUCUUAAUGCCUAAGAUACCCUUCUUAGGUUAAGCGAGACAGCACUCUGCGCUUUCAGUGCGAUUCAGGAUUAUUGAUACUGAGUCACCUGAGGGCAAUGCAGUGCAGUGGCGCAAGCCAUUGCGAGUGCUCUGGUAUUCUACCUUUACUUCCACCUGAAAUCAAGCAGGACUACCCGCCGAACUUAAGCAUAUCACUA